UGCCAGCCGCCGCGGUAACACGGGGGGCGCAAGCGUUAUUCGGAAUUAUUGGGCGUAAAGGGCGCGCAGGCGGUCUUGUCAGUCAGGUGUGAAGGCCCGGGGCUCAACCCCGGAUGGUCACUUGAAACAGCAAGACUAGAGGACGAGAGGGGAGCAUGGAACUCUAGGUGGAGCGGUGAAAUGCGUAGAUAUUCUGAGGAAUACCGGUGGCGAAGGCGGCCCCCUGGAUUGACACUGACGCUGAGGUGCGAAAGCGUGGGGAGCAAACAGGAUUAGAUA
This 279-nucleotide ribosomal RNA is filed under the name uncultured bacterium. RNAcentral describes it as "partial 16S ribosomal RNA". It matches the Rfam family "Bacterial small subunit ribosomal RNA", at positions 506 to 784 of the family's 1533-position model. The record is from RNAcentral.